ACAGCAGCAGCCACGGGAAUACGAAGGGUGCAAGCGUUAAUCGGAAUUACUGGGCGUAAAGCGUGCGUAGGCGGUUUGUUAAGUCUGCUGUGAAAUCCCCGGGCUCAACCUGGGAAUGGCAGUGGAUACUGGCAAGCUAGAGUGUGUCAGAGGAUGGUGGAAUUCCCGGUGUAGCGGUGAAAUGCGUAGAGAUCGGGAGGAACAUCAGUGGCGAAGGCGGCCAUCUGGGACAACACUGACGCUGAGGCACGAAAGCGUGGGGAGCAAACAGGAUUAGAUACCCCGGUAGUCCCUGUCUCUUAUAC
RNAcentral lists this ribosomal RNA (305 nucleotides) under uncultured bacterium. RNAcentral describes it as "partial 16S ribosomal RNA". It matches the Rfam family "Bacterial small subunit ribosomal RNA", at positions 506 to 807 of the family's 1533-position model. The record is from RNAcentral.